RNAcentral lists this ribosomal RNA (258 nucleotides) under uncultured bacterium. Its description in RNAcentral is "partial 16S ribosomal RNA". It matches the Rfam family "Bacterial small subunit ribosomal RNA", at positions 524 to 776 of the family's 1533-position model. The record is from RNAcentral.
UACGUAGGGCGCAAGCGUUGUCCGGAAUUAUUGGGCGUAAAGAGCUCGUAGGCGGUUUGUCGCGUCUGCUGUGAAAACCUCAGGCUCAACCUGGGGGCUUGCAGUGGGUACGGGCAGACUAGAGUGCGGUAGGGGGUGACUGGAAUUUCUGGUGUAGCGGUGGAAUGCGCAGAUAUCAGGAGGAACACCGAUGGCGAAGGCAGGUCACUGGGCCGCAACUGACGCUGGAGGAGCGGAAAGCAUGGGGGAGCGAACAGG